UUCCGGUUGAUCCUGCCGGAGGUUACUGCUAUCGAGGCUCGACUAAGCCAUGCGAGUCGAAUGUAGCAAUACAUGGCGUACUGCUCAGUAACACGUGGACAACCUGCCCUUAGGUCCGGCAUAACCCCGGGAAACUGGGUAUAAUCCCCGAUAGGUCUCGGCUGCUGGAAUGCAUCGAGAUUAAAAGCUCCGGCGCCUAAGGAUGGGUCUGCGGCCUAUCAGGUAGUAGUGGGUGUAGUGUACCUACUAGCCUACGACGGGUACGGGUUGUGAGAGCAAGAGCCCGGAGAUGGAUUCUGAGACACGAAUCCAGGCCCUACGGGGUGCAGCAGGCGCGAAAACUUUACAAUGCUGGCAACAGCGAUAAGGGAACCUCGAGUGCCAGGUUACAAGUCUGGCUGUCGAGAUGCCUAAAAAGCAUUUCAUAGCAAGGGCCGGGCAAGACCGGUGCCAGCCGCCGCGGUAACACCGGCGGCUCGAGUGGUAACCGUUAUUAUUGGGUCUAAAGGGUCUGUAGCCGGCCGGAUAAGUCCCUUGAGAAAUCUGGCGGCUUAACUGUCAGGCUUUCAGGAGAUACUGUCUGGCUCGAGGCCGGGAGAGGUGAGAGGUACUUCAGGGGUAGGGGUGAAAUCUUGUAAUCCUUGAAGGACCACCAGUGGCGAAGGCGUCUCACCAGAACGGACCUGACGGCAAGGGACGAAAGCUAGGGGCACGAACCGGAUUAGAUACCCGGGUAGUCCUAGCCGUAAACGAUACUCGCUAGGUGUCGGCCACGGUGCGACCGUUGUCGGUGCCGUAGGGAAGCCGUGAAGCGAGCCACCUGGGAAGUACGGCCGCAAGGCUGAAACUUAAAGGAAUUGGCGGGA
Molecule: ribosomal RNA, 866 nt
Filed under: uncultured Methanosaeta sp.
Lineage: Archaea; Methanobacteriati; Methanobacteriota; Methanomicrobia; Methanotrichales; Methanotrichaceae
Description: bacterial SSU rRNA
Rfam family: Archaeal small subunit ribosomal RNA
Source: RNAcentral